CAGCCGCCACGGUAAUACGUAGGGUCCGAGCGUUGUCCGGAAUUAUUGGGCGUAAAGGGCUCGUAGGCGGUUUGUUGCGUCGGGAGUGAAAACCCAGGGCUUAACUUUGGGCUUGCUUUCGAUACGGGCAGACUUGAGGCAUUGAGGGGAGAACGGAAUUCCUGGUGUAGCGGUGAAAUGCGUAGAGAUCUGGAGGAAUACCGAUGGCGAAGGCAGCCAUCUGGCCUAAUACUGACGCUGAGGUACGAAAGCAUGGGGAGCAAACAGGAUUAGAUACCCCUGUAGUCCCUGUCUCUUAUAA
Molecule: ribosomal RNA, 301 nt
Filed under: uncultured bacterium
Lineage: Bacteria
Description: partial 16S ribosomal RNA
Rfam family: Bacterial small subunit ribosomal RNA
Source: RNAcentral